RNAcentral lists this ribosomal RNA (1554 nucleotides) under Escherichia coli. RNAcentral describes it as "bacterial SSU rRNA". It matches the Rfam family "Bacterial small subunit ribosomal RNA". The record is from RNAcentral. Lineage: Bacteria; Pseudomonadati; Pseudomonadota; Gammaproteobacteria; Enterobacterales; Enterobacteriaceae.
AAAUUGAAGAGUUUGAUCAUGGCUCAGAUUGAACGCUGGCGGCAGGCCUAACACAUGCAAGUCGAACGGUAACAGGAAGCAGCUUGCUGCUUUGCUGACGAGUGGCGGACGGGUGAGUAAUGUCUGGGAAACUGCCUGAUGGAGGGGGAUAACUACUGGAAACGGUAGCUAAUACCGCAUAACGUCGCAAGACCAAAGAGGGGGACCUUCGGGCCUCUUGCCAUCGGAUGUGCCCAGAUGGGAUUAGCUAGUAGGUGGGGUAACGGCUCACCUAGGCGACGAUCCCUAGCUGGUCUGAGAGGAUGACCAGCCACACUGGAACUGAGACACGGUCCAGACUCCUACGGGAGGCAGCAGUGGGGAAUAUUGCACAAUGGGCGCAAGCCUGAUGCAGCCAUGCCGCGUGUAUGAAGAAGGCCUUCGGGUUGUAAAGUACUUUCAGCGGGGAGGAAGGGAGUAAAGUUAAUACCUUUGCUCAUUGACGUUACCCGCAGAAGAAGCACCGGCUAACUCCGUGCCAGCAGCCGCGGUAAUACGGAGGGUGCAAGCGUUAAUCGGAAUUACUGGGCGUAAAGCGCACGCAGGCGGUUUGUUAAGUCAGAUGUGAAAUCCCCGGGCUCAACCUGGGAACUGCAUCUGAUACUGGCAAGCUUGAGUCUCGUAGAGGGGGGUAGAAUUCCAGGUGUAGCGGUGAAAUGCGUAGAGAUCUGGAGGAAUACCGGUGGCGAAGGCGGCCCCCUGGACGAAGACUGACGCUCAGGUGCGAAAGCGUGGGGAGCAAACAGGAUUAGAUACCCUGGUAGUCCACGCCGUAAACGAUGUCGACUUGGAGGUUGUGCCCUUGAGGCGUGGCUUCCGGAGCUAACGCGUUAAGUCGACCGCCUGGGGAGUACGGCCGCAAGGUUAAAACUCAAAUGAAUUGACGGGGGCCCGCACAAGCGGUGGAGCAUGUGGUUUAAUUCGAUGCAACGCGAAGAACCUUACCUGGUCUUGACAUCCACAGAACCUUGUAGAGAUACGAGGGUGCCUUCGGGAACUGUGAGACAGGUGCUGCAUGGCUGUCGUCAGCUCGUGUUGUGAAAUGUUGGGUUAAGUCCCGCAACGAGCGCAACCCUUAUCCUUUGUUGCCAGCGGUCCGGCCGGGAACUCAAAGGAGACUGCCAGUGAUAAACUGGAGGAAGGUGGGGAUGACGUCAAGUCAUCAUGGCCCUUACGACCAGGGCUACACACGUGCUACAAUGGCGCAUACAAAGAGAAGCGACCUCGCGAGAGCAAGCGGACCUCAUAAAGUGCGUCGUAGUCCGGAUUGGAGUCUGCAACUCGACUCCAUGAAGUCGGAAUCGCUAGUAAUCGUGGAUCAGAAUGCCACGGUGAAUACGUUCCCGGGCCUUGUACACACCGCCCGUCACACCAUGGGAGUGGGUUGCAAAAGAAGUAGGUAGCUUAACCUUCGGGAGGGCGCUUACCACUUUGUGAUUCAUGACUGGGGUGAAGUCGUAACAAGGUAACCGUAGGGGAACCUGCGGUUGGAUCACCUCCUUACCUUAAAGAAGC